UAUAUCUCGAAGAUUGUUUUUUAAAUAGAAACUAAUAUAUUCUAUAAUAAAUGAAAGUUAUAGAAAGAUUCCACAAUUUACCCUAAAAUGGAAUUAUAUAGAAUAUGAACAAGAUAAAUUAUAAAGUAUAUAUUGAUAUUACACAACUUUUAAAAGUUUCAUUGUCAAGAAUCAUUAUAAUUCGUUUAAAAUGAUUUUUAUCGGAUAUGGAUAUUGGUAUUGAUAUUGAAGGGAGGCGCUCGUGGGCGUCCAAGCAUUUAGGCCACCAGACCGCUCUAGAGAAUGUCCAAAAUGCCACCCUUUCUAUAGAAGUAAAUAUGAAACUCCAAAAUUAAUACAAACAAGGAACUAUCAUCAUGAAAAAUCGUUACAUUUCAACUGAGAUGGUUUGAAUCAAAGAUAAAUAAAUGUGUCUCAUAAAGUUAUAUUAAUUAAAAAUUGUUAUCUAAUGUAAUGAAAUUUAGUUAUUUUUACUUUAAAUCACCAUCCAAAUUAUUAGAAAUUAUGAUAGACCCAACUACAGUCAAAUGAUGUUGUAGGAUUAUUUGAUGCGGUUUUACAAUGCCCAUCCGAGUUUCAAACUAUGGUAAACGCGAACACAGUUAAACGUAGAAAAUGUCAAAAUGGGUACGUGUCGACGAAUUUUUAAAUUAUGGCAUGUCGUCGUCAAUUGCGUGAAAAAAUGCGUCACUGGGAUUUAUUUCCAAGAGAAACAAAUACAUUUUACAAAUUAAAGGUGGACAAUAAGUCACUACCGACAACUUAGUUAUGAAGAAUAUCAUUCAUCAAUUAUAAAAAAAAGAGAGACAAUUUUAUUAAAUAAACGAUCAUUGAAACUUUGUAAGUAUUCGUCGAGUCAUCCAAGAAAAUACUUCAUUUAGACAUAAAUUUCAAUUUAACAAGUAAGUUUUUUAUAUUCGUUUUAUGUAACAUAAUAAGUUUUUCGAGUUUAACACAAGAAAUGUAAAACAUAAGUCUACACAAUCUGUCAAACAAAUUCGGUAUUGUUUACAGAUUCCUUUUUAUUUCUUUUAAGAACAUAAAGUGACGACAAGAAAUGAAAUAAAAGAAAACUAUAAAGAAUAAAAUAUCGUUUAUGUAAAAAAUAAUAAUUCAAAAAUAUUUAUUACUACAUAAAUUACUUCCCUUCCUAAAGUAUUAUAAUUAAGGAAAAAGUAAAAGAAAAAUAGAUAUUUUUGCAUAAUGAUGUUUAAACAUCUUAACGAAAUUACCAAAAAACUACAAUAAUUUUCUAAUAUUUCAUCGCAUGUAAUUGCCUAAUAAUAUCAUACAUAAUAUCACAUAAUUGCCUAAUUCGUGAAAUUACCAAUAUGACAUAUUUUAAUUCUAACGUGAAAUUUGUGAAGUCAUUGACAGUUGCGACGUUAUCCAAUACGGUUCUGCAGUGCCCAUCCGAAUUUGAAUCUAUGGUAGAUACAACCACAUUCGAACACGAAGAAGAGACGUAGAAGACACCGAGAUGAUUCUGUGGUGGAGCAUUGCACGCGGCGGUUUAACCUCCGUUCGCUCCUUGUUCACUUGACGAAAAGCGAAAAUUAAAUUUUGAGCGUCCUCAAUAGUUCGCGUAAAAUUCAUUGCGAAAGCCUACCUGUUUCUUGUUGGCCGAUGUACCAGGCUACCUGGCCUUGCAUUGCUUCCAGUUUUUCUUUCAUAUCAUCACAAUUUAUAAAACAGGUGAAUACGCGUUUUUUGGUUGUCAUUUUAGUAGUAAUGACGGGUGUCGUAUCUCACAAGAUGCACUGUAGGAUGGGUACACUUUGGACACACGUCAAGGAGUUUUACUUUGCUUAUCCAAUACGGUUGUAGCUGAUAUUUGUAUUUGCGCGCGUAAUUAUACUUUGAACACACGAUUUUUUUGGAGUAGACGAAAUAAUUUCUCGGCGGUGUGACGUUCAUUAUUAAACUGAAAUGUUAUUGCGUGUUCCGGAUGUUUUAUUAAUAGCAUUAUCAACGGAUAUUCUUAUCUUAUUUACGCCUCCCUGCCGGUGACGUUUGCGUCACUUGGUUGGCACCACGGACGACGGUUGGCACCACGGACCACGGUUAGGUUGGCACCACGGUUUGGUUAAUUUGGCACCACUGACAACGAUCGGGGUCUACGCCCCCGCGCGGGCGGGGGGCCACCGAACGGCACGCGGGCGAACGGCGCGCGCGACAUCUAGCAGCAACGGGACGGAACCGACGGUACAUAAUUAGCUCGGCAUUAAAGUGACCGUUCAACGACGGACGGGUUUUCACGGCAGCCCCCCCGAGAUGGCGGGGGUCCCCGAACGGCACGCGGGCGAACGGACAAAGACAACGGUUUGGUUGGCACCACGGACUACGGUUGGCACCACUGACGACGGUUUGGUAAGGUUUGGGCGAGUGACCUAUGGCGAACGGCCAGAACACAAAAAGAAGAAGACCAUGGCCGAGUGGUCCAUGGGCUGGUGGCCAAUGGGUCCAGGGUAAAAGAAGAAGACCCGUGGGCGGAGGGGCCGUGGCAGGGAAGCCAAAAAGUGAGGUUAUGUGGGCCUGGAUGUCCCUUUAUUCAUCUACAUGCAAGGCCAGGUAGGCAAUGGUAAUCGCGCAUAAAGUCGAGAUACAUAGAAUAGAGCUCUGGGUUUCGAGAAAGACGCUUUUCCAGCGACAACAAGCUAAGAUUCUGGGUGUUUAAAGGGUAGGGAUGCGAUAAAUCUACCACUCUUGUUCCUGCGGGUCGUAUUUGCGAAAAUAGUCUCACACCUUUCGUCCUCCGGGGAAGCGGGAUGCUUAGUCGUUUCUAAAGCAGAUGGAUGACCGGACGCACCUGGGAUGCGUCCAGCGAGUAGGAUUUGACCAGUUAAUCGCCAAUUACAAGAUCUACAACACCGGGAAUAUGGUAAUUGCGGUCUCUCAGUACAUAGCUGUGGUACGACAAUGGCAUCGAACGAAAGUAGAGGAGUUGCUUGAUUUUGUGAUUUAAUGGUGCAUCGAGUUAAUCCUUUUGAAGUUUGACUGGUCAUGCCUUUUAGGCCGUGAAUGGGCACAGUGUAAAGCUUCAACCUGCGUAAACAUGUCGUAGUGCGACGACACCCCCAAAGCCUCACAAAAAAAAAAGAAAAAGCGAAGAAACGGUUCAGCAGCAGCAGCAGCAGCAGCAUACCGGCUCAUCCUCCUCCUCCUCCGGUUGGUUCGAUACGUUUAUCGACGACGAAGAAAGAAAGGUGG
Molecule: long non-coding RNA, 3210 nt
Organism: Cylas formicarius (sweet potato weevil)
Lineage: Eukaryota; Metazoa; Arthropoda; Insecta; Coleoptera; Brentidae
Exons: 8
Source: RefSeq, a predicted model, not a curated record